GGAGAGGUGGGUGAGUGGCCGAAACCACACCCUUGCUAAGGGUGCGACGGAGUUAAAUCCGUCCGAGAGUUCGAAUCUCUCCCUCUCCGCCA
RNAcentral lists this transfer RNA (92 nucleotides) under Pseudomonadota bacterium. Its description in RNAcentral is "Proteobacteria bacterium tRNA-Ser". It matches the Rfam family "tRNA". From Rfam's summary of the family: Transfer RNA (tRNA) molecules are approximately 80 nucleotides in length. Their secondary structure includes four short double-helical elements and three loops (D, anti-codon, and T loops). Lineage: Bacteria; Pseudomonadati; Pseudomonadota. The record is from RNAcentral.